RNAcentral lists this ribosomal RNA (398 nucleotides) under Bruchidius niokolobaensis. RNAcentral's name for it is "mitochondrial SSU rRNA". The record is from RNAcentral. Lineage: Eukaryota; Metazoa; Arthropoda; Insecta; Coleoptera; Chrysomelidae.
UAAACUAGGAUUAGAUACCCUAUUAUUUUAAAUUUAAAUUUAAAAUACUAAAUGAUUAAUAGUUAUGUUCUUUAAAAUUAAAAAAUUUGGCGGUAUUUUAGUCUUUUCAGAGGAACCUGUCCUAUAAUUGAUAGUCCACGAUUAAAAUUACUUUAAUUUUUAAUUUACAUAUCGUCGUAGAUUGAAUAUUUUAUUAGAAAUUUAAUAUUCAAGAUUUUAAAUUAAAAAUAAAAUCAGAUCAAGGUGUAGUUUAUAUUGAAGAAGAGAUGGGUUACAAUAAAAAUAUUUUAGGAUAUUAUUUUUAAAAUAUGAUUGAAUAUGGAUUUGAUAGUAAUUUUUAUAAUUUAUUUAAAAUGAUUAUGGCUCUAAAAUAUGUACACAUCGCCCGUCGCUCUUAA